RNAcentral lists this ribosomal RNA (200 nucleotides) under uncultured organism. RNAcentral describes it as "partial small subunit ribosomal RNA". It matches the Rfam family "Bacterial small subunit ribosomal RNA", at positions 1183 to 1382 of the family's 1533-position model. The record is from RNAcentral.
CGUCAAAUCAUCAUGCCCCUUAUGUCCUGGGCUACACACGUGCUACAAUGGCUGGUACAACGGGUCGCGAAACCGUGAGGUGGAGCCAAUCCCUAAAAGCCAGUCUCAGUUCGGAUCGUAGGCUGCAACUCGCCUACGUGAAGCCGGAAUCGCUAGUAAUCGCGGAUCAGCAUGCCGCGGUGAAUACGUUCUCGGGCCUU